Long non-coding RNA from Manis pentadactyla (Chinese pangolin), 8637 nucleotides. RefSeq lists it as uncharacterized. Lineage: Eukaryota; Metazoa; Chordata; Mammalia; Pholidota; Manidae. The record is from RefSeq and is a predicted model, not a curated record. The transcript has 4 exons.
GGAACUUCUGAAAUAGUCACAGGAGAUGAGAAGGGACCUGCAUCUACCUAUCACUCAGCUUCAACAAUAACCAACAUUUUGUCCAUCUUGUUUCAGUCACUUUCCCACUUUUUUCUUGAGAACAUUAAAGAAAAUUUCAACUCUCGUAUCAUUUCAUUUGUAAGUACUUCAAGGACUUCUGUAACUGACAAGGAGUUGUCCCUGAUGUCACCUAAUAGUUAGUCUCUGUUUAAAUUUCCCUGAUUAUCACAAGAGUGACCUUUUACAUUUGGUUUGUGCAAGUUAGGAUCCAAAUAUGGCCCGCAAAUCGCAGCUGGUUGUUACCUCAUAUAAAUUUCAUUCAUUCUGAACAGUACGCACACACGUUUUUAAUGGCAUGAUUUUUUGGAGAAACCAUAUCAGAGGUCCUAUAGAAUGUUCCCCACUCUGAAGUUGAUUGUUUCCUCAAAGUGUCAUUUAACUUGUUUCUGUAUAUCUACUAUAUUUGUUUUAACUAGUUAAGAGCUUAAUAAAUAAGAUUUGUGGUUCAAUUUUUGAGAAAGAAUAUUUUGUAAGUGGGGUCCGUUUUAAUUUGGGGUCAAGCUUAGCAUACUGUUGGAUACAUGUAAGUGGAUCCCUGCUAAUCCCAACCUCUUCUGCCUAGAGUGCUGCACCCAGUGUUAACGUCAGUCAAUUUCCCUCGAUUCCUUUGCUUCCUGUCUUUCCUUUUUCUUGUCCUCUCAACCUUGGUAGAGACCUAGGAAUUGCCUGAAUACUUUUGAAAAUAUUAGAUGUCCAAGAAUAAGCUGUAUUGAACAGUUGAGAAUUGAGUAAAGGUGCCUCAAUAUCUAGUUCAAAGGUUAAGUUCAAGUGGAUCAAGCAUGACUGUUAUAUUGAUGCCUUUACAGGUCACAGAAGGUAAUGCACACCUGAGACACACAUCUGUUCUUUAUGCCUCUGUACUCUUUGAGCUUACAGUACUUUAAGUGAGGUUUUUCUUUUUUAAGAGUGUUAACGUGGAAGGCCAUGAAAGCACUAGGUUCUAGUGAGUCUUGUUCCGUCAUACUGGAUCCCUCGGUACAGUGAGGGAGCCACGACAGAGCAGGGGGGCGGGGCACUUUCCUGUCUCCCUGGAAUACAUUCCUUCUCUUAUUUUAGAUACGGUGUUGGAGGCAUCUCUUCAGGGCCGCACAUAAUACAAGAAGUACCACCAAACAGAGCAAAGAGAUGUCCAGGAUGUGAGAUCGCCAGAAUUGUCCAGAAAUUAAGAAAGGCAGAACAGUUCUCCUUUCUCUCUGGUUCCAGGAAAUAAUAAGACAACUGCCAAUUUUAAUGAAAUCACUUGACUGUUCUGAGUGUCUCCAUGUCUCAAUGAUGGAACAGAAACAUUCAGAUCUCUGCAAGGAUGGAGUAGGAGCAAAAAAGUUUCUGUGCUGGAGACCACAGGCUUACGGUCUGAUGACAUUUGCCAGCCUUGUGAAUGGGUUCCCAGAGCCCUGGCGCCUCUUUCUUCCCAACUCUAGAAACCAUUUGGGGAUGCAAGUAAGCAAGGUUGCAGACAACAUAGACUAACUCCAGCCACUAACAUUAAAGGAAUGUGCUGAAGCGACACUGAGUUUCUGAAUUCUCAGAGAAAACUGAGGCUCACAGAGUUAAGUAACUUGACCAAGGUUGACCAGCUAUUAAAUGAUAGAACUCGAAUUUGACCCCAGAACUGCUAACGCCUGCUUAACCUUGAUGCUAUGCAAGCAACAGUCCCUUGAAGGAGGCUACACAAGCCAAAGUUGGAAACAGAGAAACUCACUUACUACUUAGGAAUAUAAUUUCCAUUUCCUCUCCUAAUGGGACCAGCUACCACCAGUUGCCAUGAAAAUUAUGGAACUUCAAGUUUUGGUGUCUUGUCUAAAGGAUAAAAUUUAUGUUUUUAUUCAGUUUUGUAUAGAUGUCUCUUGAAAGAAGUAUUCAAAGUGUAGAACUUCCACAAAGCUUCAUUUUAGCAAAGAUAUAGGUCUGUUUAACCAUCAAGAUUAAAAAUAUGAGUUUUUUUUGUCUCAGACUAAUCUGAGUUUGACAGAUCUACUAUUUCCUAACUAUGCGAUUCUGGACAAGUUACUAAACACCUUGAGUUGGAUUUCUUUGACUUUACAGUGUUCCAAAGGUUAGAAGAGCUGAUGUACAUAGAAAGUUUACCACAUUGUCCUGAACUUAACAAAUUCUCAAAACACUGUUACCAUGUCGCAGAUAAUAAUAUGUAACCCCACUAAGAAUAGGUGUGUUAAGCUUCUCACUUAUAAUAAAGCCUAAAUAAAACACUAACUCAUCACUUGCCGAUACCUUGCUUCCCUCUGGAGACCUGCUCUUUCCUUCAGAAAAUCCUAAUCCACUGACAGCUGAUGGCAUUUAAUUCUAGAGUAAUUAUUAGGAAGUCAGUUAAGUAUUUAUCCUUCAGCUGUAAGUUUAUGCUUUAGCAAGAAAUAUUCUUUGAAGGGAUAUUGAGGGUCACUGUUGGUCCACAUCAGCUGAGGUUCCACAUGGGGUUUGUGGAGUUCAAUAAUCAGAUAAGCAGGAAUCAUAUGGCGAAAAGAAAUCAAAGUCAAUGUAAUAAAGAGCUCUGUGGAGCACGUCACUCAGGCUAAGAUGACUGAAGCCCCCGCUGCAGUUUGUGUGGCUUAUAAACCUUAUCAGGCUCUCACACUUGGUCUAUUUCCUUCAUCUUUUUUUUUCUUUUUCCUAAUUUCCUUCAUCUUUUACCUGCUUUAAUUCCACCAACUCUUUUUCCAGGCUCUGGAAGUGCUCCUUUGAUUCCCAAUGAUGUAUUUUCUUGUGUCCUAUUAUUUUUUUUCUGAAAUGUGAUCAGAGUUUUCAGUCAGUACUUGGGGACCACAGUGAGCUUCCUCCAAGCACUUGGAUGUAAGAUUAUGAGGAGUGACAAGCCAGUUUCUCUGCUGGAUGCCUCUAGCAACUUCCUCUCAGUAGUCCAGUAAUGAGCUGGCCCUGCUGAGACAGUCAAAACUUCUACUGGUUGACACUGAUGCUGAUAAUGCAAACUUCCCAUAAGAUGGGCACUGAGAAUUGAAUGUUUUUCGCACUGGCAAGGCCAUGCCUCAUUGUCAGAGCCACAGGGUCAGGUGAUCUCUGUCACCUCCCAGCUAUAAAUGUAUGAGGUGGCAGAGGGCUGUGGGGAGGUGGGGGUCGCCUCUCUCCUGGCAAAUUUAAAUGAUCUCCAGUGGUGCCAACUUAAGCAGGACAUACUCAACUUGAAGCUGAGGGAUGGCUAGAGACUAGGGGACUGCCUGCGUUCUGUUCCUUGAGCCCAAAUGUUGAUGUCUUCAUUGUGCGUCAUUCUAGUAUUUGACCGUAUCUCUUUUGCAACAGAAAAUAAUAAUUGUUUCUUAUAAUUGGAUUUUAAAACAAGCACAUAACACUUUAGAAUGGGGAUACCUAAAUUCAAUCCCAAGAACUGUAAGAUAUGCCCAUAACUCAUUUGGCUGAUCCAUUCAUUCCUUUUUUUAAAAAAAUUUUGGUAAAAUACACCUAAUAUGAAAUUUACUAUCUUCAUCAUUUUUAAGUAUAAAAAUCAGUGGUAUUCAGUACAUUCAUACUGUGAUGCAACCAUUACUACCAUCCACCUCCAUAACUCUUUUCAUCACUUAGACUUACUGAGACUCUGUACGUAUUAAAGAAUAAUUCCUCAUCCCCCCUCAUCAGAGCCCCUGGCAACCACCAUUCUACUUUCUAUGUCUAUGAACCUGAGCUCCCUAGGUACCUUACAUCUGUGGAAUCAUGCAGUAUUUGUCUUUUUGUUCCAUUCAUUCUUAAGUUUCAUUGAUAGAACCAGAAGUUAGCCAGUGGACUUUCUAGAACACUUGGCAAUCUCGAUGCAUUAAGCAUUUGUAAGUAUAUCUGAUUUUCUUUAUUCCAAUGCCAUGUUCACAAAGCAACCUUCUGAUUAUGGUAUACCUUCUUCCUGCUGAUAAAAUGAGUUGCCUCCCCAGCAUCCAUCCCAUCCCAUUUAUACUGUAUGGCUUUGUACUGCAGGUGGGGUGGUAUUACCAUCCCUUAGCUCCAGAAAUUGGCCGUAAACCAAUUUUCAUAAACCCAUUCUCUUUGCCACAGUGAUUGAGUCAGGUAUGGGCACUAACCUAAGCCUAAACAAGUCCUCUGGCUACAGCGAUGAGUUCAUGGACAGGUACUUAAUAUAAGUCAGUCCAAUCAAAGUGAAGUUUAGGACUUUUAUUUGAUUGUUAGGCAUAAAGAAGCCAUCCUUCUUUUCCUAGAGUUUAAUUUAAAAAUGCAUAUCAUCUUAUUGCUAUUGGCAGCUAUUUUGUAGCCAGGAGAAGAACUAGUCCUAAGAGGGUGCCCAUAUUGUGGAAAAUAGGACCAAUACAUGGAAAGAAAUUUAAUCAUGGUAAUAAUCUUAAAACCUGCUGGAUCAAGCCUUGCCUGGAGCACUCCCUUCCACAGACCUUUUGAGAUAUAUGAGUCAGUAAAUUCUCUUUAUUUUUUUAACCAGAUUUGAACUGGAUUUUCCAUUCCUGGUUUUUAAAUACACUUUAAUGGAUUAUCCAUAAAAAUCUACAGAGUCAGAAAGCAGUGGUUAAAUGGACUUUAUAUAUUCCUGUUGACACUAAUUUCUCAUUGUGAAAAAUAAAUUGGUAUUCUGUUUUAUACAUUAUCUUCUUUAGUGUGUUUAAUGUGAGAUGUGGAUUCAUUCUCAGGACCCUGAUAAAAUUUAGUUUCUGACUUUGUCCUGUUGGGGACCAUGGCAUACAUUCAAAGUAAUGAAUAUCGUACUGUGGAGGCAUCUUGGGAGAAGACCUUAGUGACCAUAUAUGGUCUGCCUUGAUAGAUCUUGAACCUGAGUUUCCAUUUCAUUGCUUUGAAUUUCUGUAGCCAUUGGAAAUUUUUCAGGACAUCAGUGAUGGGUCUGAAAUAGAAGCCAGUGCUAGUAGCCCUGGGUUCUGACACUCGACCUCACAAUCCUGGGAGCCUCCUGCUUAGGUCCUGCUCCAGUCUGAGCCCUUUGCAGGGAGCUCUGAUGGAAGUGUCAGCAUCUAGUGCAAUGCCUAGUAUCUCCUGCACUGACGGAAGCUGAGGGGCCCCUCUAGUGCUGUCUUUGCAGCUGAGAAGAUGAGAAGAUACCAAGUUCAGUGAAGGGUCAAACUGCUUUUCCUGGUCUUGUCUAGCAACUCUUCGCACUUAUCCAGAGGCACUAGAUGAGACCUUUUUGUGGUAAUAUUGUGUGUUCUCAGUGUUUCCCUGCUUCCUACUCCAUACAUAAAAAGAUCUAUGCAUCAUUUCUCUUUCUGAUGGCCCUGGGUAAAAAUAGAUUACACACUGGAAAGAAACAGCACAUUAACAGUAGGGUUGUUUCCACAGGGUGUGCUCGUGAAGCAUUUCUUUCUAAAGGUACUCCUCGUGCAAAAAAAGAUGCUAACAGAAGAUUGCAAUUACACAGAAAACCUAAUUAUUGCUUUUAAUUUUGCUCUACAAGUUGAGAGCUCUUUGAAUGCAGGGAAAGUUGUAGGUGAAAUCACAUUCAGCCAUCCUCCGGAAUGUCCGUGGACACAUAUUCCAUCAGCUGUGGUUAAACGCAGAGCUCUUUGUCCGGUUAGCAUCAAGGCAAGAAGUACUUGGAAUUCCAGCCCAUAAACAUUUAAACACAGCCACUCUAAAACUACUGUGGCCCUGACUUGUAUUUUCUCAUUUCCAGUGAAGGGGCCAUUUUUAAACAGAGCAUGCUAUGUGAACUGGUAGAAUAGAGUGCCACAAAAGUCUUUAUUAAAUUAUAGGUGGACUUGUGGGUUCUGCUCAGGGCAAAGGAGGGUUGGCUGAGUUGAAGUGAAAUAGGUCAUACUGAUCUGAAAGGUCCACUGGGCCCUAGAUAUUAGGGAGGAGAUCAUAAGUGGAAGCUAUUUUUAUUUUCAUCUUCUAGGCUUUCUAUUCUACAUGGACAAUUGUCAGGAUUGAAUAAGCCAUGACAUGAAAACGACACAUUUUCUAAUUGGUUCCUUGGAAAACUUCAGAAUAAACCAGUUUACCUUCUGUAAAAUCAUAGAAGUGAGCAAACUCUCAAAGUCAGCUCCACGGUUAAAACAGGAAAGCCUCAAAGCAAUCCAUGAUGUAUGGGCCUCGGGUAUAUGUUACCCUCUCUAGAGCAAAUACUUCAUUUCUCUUGUGGCUGGUGUUUCCCAGGGUGUAUUACAUCUUCUACCUCCUGUGCUUUCAUUAGGAGGAGAAGAUGGCUGUAGAUUUAAUGUCAGAGCUUCUGCUGAGCUUCGCCACUUCUAGGAAUGUCCUUGGUUUUGUCUGUUCACUGUGACUUUCCAUAUUGUUUAUAAAUAAACUUCUUGGGUGCUGUGUGCAUGAGAAAAAUGUGAAGAUGAGUGGGAGUUAGGUUCUAAAUUAAACAGCAGUGUUUCCUUAAAUUGGGGCCAAUGUGUUAGCAGAAGCAGUGGUAUUUGGAAAUUAUUGCUGAAAGUUCUGGGAUUCUUGAAGGAAAGUUCAGAACUCCUGAAGGCUAUGUGUGUUAAAUAUGCAUAUUGAAAGGAAAGAACUGUUGAUAACUAAUAUAGACGUUUGCUGUCUGUACUCACUGAACUUGUGUGUUCACUUUAUGCUGCUCAAGCCAGUGAUAUAACCAAUCACACACUCAGCUGAUGACUACUAAUGUCUCUGAAGCAAAACAAGACAAUUUUUAUCUAAAAGAAAAAUUUCUUCCCUUAUUUUCUUCUAGAAGAUCACUGAGAUGGCUAGAAUUUCUACGUUGUUUGUGCCCCAGAAGAGCUUCCAGUAGAUAGUGCAAAGGACAAGGAGAGAAUAAAGAAGAAAAGAUAAUGAUCAAACGCCUCUUUGUUGGCAAAAAUAACAUUGCUGCCUCCAAAGGUUUGUGUAAUGUUUCCAUUUACCUAGAAGCCCCUGUGCUUUCUGGGGAGUUUCUGUGAAGGUCCUACUCUGUACGGGGUAAAGAUCAACAAAAGAGCAAUUCCCAGUGGAUGGAAUGGAAUUGUCUCUCUUCCCUGUAGAAUCAAGAUAUAAAAUGAAUCUGGACAUUUGUUCAGGGGGUCUUAGCACCGGAAGCAGUUUCAUGCAUGGAUGUGGCAUUGCUCUCAAGGGAUUCCUGUAAAUAUAUCACACAACGAACUGUUCCCCGCAGUAGUGCUAGGAAAGGCAUCUUCAAAGAGGUAAGGAUGUACACUGGCUCCUUACCUGGACACCUGGGAAAUCCUGAUUGUCUGUUGAACAAAGUCAAACGUCUCUGAUCUCUGUUUCCUAUGUGGAAUUGUCCUUUCUUUGUGCCCCUGUAUAUUUAGUUCUUCAUUUAUUUAGUUCUUGCCUCUGUUAUACCUUUCAAAGUAUUACAAAUAUCUGUUGACUUGCCUUAUGCCAGGAACUGUGCUAAGUGUUUUACCAGUGACUCUUAAUAACCACCUUAGUAUUAUCUCCAUUUUACAGAUAAGGAAGUGAAGUAAUGUAUGAAAAGUGCCUAAUAUCUAGCAUAGAGUAAAAAUGCAAAAUAAAUUAUUAGAAAUAGUGAAUACAAGUAUUUAUGUAUUGACCUAAUAUUCCUUUGAGAUAAGGGCAGAGUCUUAUUCUUUUUUGUAGUCCUAACCCCUAAUAGAGUGCUUGGGACCUACAAAGUGCUUAAUUAAUUUUGGUUAAAGAUCUGAGUGAUUAACCAGAUCUGAAUCUGCUUAGGAGUGUAUAGUAGAACAAAAGUGAUUCAGGUUAUAUAGGAAGUAGAGCUUCAUAUCUUUGAUAAAAUAUUUAUCUUCUUAUAAAAAUAGUAGAAGCGCAUUGAAGAAAAUUAGGACAAUACAGAAGAAUAUAUACUUUUCACAGUCAUUUUUCACCAGAGACAAUAAUUUUCCUUCCAGUCUUUUCUCGAUGCAUUUCUCCUUUGAUAUCAUAUUAUAUAUUCAGCUUUGUAGGUUGCUUUUGGGCUAUUGCAAUAUCAUAAAUAUUUUUCCAUGUUUCCAUGUCAUCAAAAACUUUUAGUAAACUUUACUUCUAAUUGGCAUACAGUUAAAUUUGUUUAUUAUAGGAAUUUACUUACCCUUUCCCUUUAUGUUCAAUAUUUAGGGUGUUUAUAAUUUUUCACAAUUAUAAAUAGCAUUGUAAUGAGCAUCUUUGUAAUAUAUAUAAGUCUUUGUGCACAUCUCUGGUAAUAACUGUGGUAUAAGAAUUUGUAGGCAUGGAAUCAGUGAUCAAAGCAUAUCAGUAUUUUUAGGCUCGUGAUACAUAGGCACAUUGCCAGUAUGCACCCAAGAGAGGUUAUACGAGUUUAUACACAUACUAGCUGUGUCUGAGCACACUCACCAACAUUAUUAUUACCUUUUACAUUUUUACUAAUUUGAUAAACUGAGAAAGACAUUGAUCCAGGCUCAGAAGGCUUACUGUAUGGUUAUAUUUAUAUAACAUUUUGUAAAAGGGAAAACUGUAGGGAAAAAAGUUGGAUCAGGGUCUGGGUGUGAGGAAGAGAUUGUCAGGAAAGGGGUCUGAGGGAACUUUAUCUUGUGGGGUGGGGGGGAAGAGUGCCAUAUCUUGAUUUUCCUGGGACUUUUACAACUUGUGUAUAUUUGUAAAACUCAUUGAACUAUACACUUGAAAAGGGUGAAUUUAUUGUACAUAAAUUAUACUUCAAUAAAGCUGACUUUU